GAACCUGCGGGAAAGAAGAACCCGCUGAGCCUGAUUGAAACGCGGUGAAGAGACAGCGGAGGGGGAUCAGUGGGCGGUCCCGCCUCCAUCUCCAUUUCCCGCAUGGAGGCCAGGCAAGUACAUGCGCCUUGCUGUCUGUGGGUGAAAUUCCACUAUUGAUUGUUUUCUCACUAACCUGGUGGGGGAGUCGGGCGCGAGUUUCGAGAGAGGCUCUGGCUUCUGGCGCCAAGCCUUAGCCAAGCUCACCAGGGGCAGCGCUAGAUGGGGAGACUGGGACACACGUCUGAAUGCAGGUGUCCUAAGGCAGCUUAGGAAGACAGAAGCCUCCCGUGGGGCAGGAGGGCAAAAGCUCUUGGGUCUUGGAUUUGCAGCAGCAGUUCAGACGGUGAAAGCAGGGCCUCAGGAUCCUUCUGACCUUUUGAGUUUUAAAAAAGGGGUGUGAGAAAAGUCGUCACAAGGAUAACUGAUUUGCAGCAGGAAAGCAAUCAUAGGAAUGAGGCUUUUUUUUUUUUUUUUUUUUUGACAGGGUCUCAUUCUGUGGCACAGGCUGGACUGCAGUGGUGCCACCAUAGCUAACUGCGCUCAAGUGAUCCCCUCGCCUCAGCCUCCAAAAUAAAUGGUACCGCAGGCCUGAGCCACCGUGUCCUGUGGCUUUUUAAUCCUUUUGAUCCUUGGAUGUGGGCUCUUCCUAUCACUGGAAGACGAAAUUCACCAAGGUUGGGUUGUUCACCCACUCAGAAAACCUGAGCUGGGGCUGGGGCUGUGGCUCACGCCUGUAAUCCCAGCACUUUGGUAGGCCAAAGCGGGCGAAUCACCUGAGGUCGGAAGUUCGAGACCAGCCUGGCCAACAUGGUGAAACUCCCAUCUCUACUGAAAAUACAAAAAUUAGCCGGGCGUGGUGGCGCAUGCCUGUAAUCACAGCUACUCAGGAGGCUGAGGCAGGAGAAUCGCUUGAACCCGGGAGGCAGAGGUUGCAGUGAGCUGAGAUGGUGUUACUGCACUCCAGCCUGGGCAACAAGAGCGAAAGUCCAUCUAAAAAGAAAAAAGAAAGGAAAGGAAAGGAAAGGAGAAAGAAAGAGAAAAGAAAGAAAGAAAGAAGAAAGAAAAAGAAAGAAAGAAGAAAGAAAGAAAAGAAAGAAAGAAAGAAAGAAGAAAGAAGAAAGAGAAAGAAAGAAAGAAAGAAGAAAGAAAGAAAGAAAGAGAAAGAGAAGAAGAAAGAAAGAAAGAAAGAGAAAGAAAGAAAGAAAGAAAGAAAGAAAGAAAGAAAGAAGAAAGAAAGAAAGAAAAGAAAGAAAGAAGAAAAAGAAAAGGAAAGAAAAGAAAACCAGAGCGGAGAUUAGACCAUGUGAAACAGGUUGAUUUCACUCUAGUGAGCAUGCGUGGUUGCCAUGGUGAUCCUGCCCGGUACCACAGGUCCCCAGGUUCAGACAUUUGGUGCCUGCGCUUGGAUGAGGGACCACUGGGCUAAGCUGCCAUCCGUGGGAUGCUGACUGAUGGCCUCUAAGUCAGAAUAUGCCCAGGCAGAACAAUAGGGCAGCGCCAUGGAGUCUCGGUUGGCCUGGGAUAGCCGGUCCUCGCCAACAGGACGCAGUGCAGCAGGGUUGAGGCCCCAUGCGGAGAGCUCAUGUCUGGGAAACCCGGCAGUGGGAAGGGUGCCCCCCCCCUCACCCUUCACGCAAGGCGCAUUCGUGGGGAACCUGGCGCUAAACCAUCCCUAGAGGAGCUGCUUCUGGGUCCGAGUUUUCUCUGCAGCAGAGUAGCUCCCUGAAUGGGAUCUGUUGAAAGUUAGCCCUCCACACAGGCGUGU
This 1807-nucleotide non-coding RNA is filed under the name Nomascus leucogenys (northern white-cheeked gibbon). RNAcentral describes it as "Eukaryotic large subunit ribosomal RNA". It matches the Rfam family "Eukaryotic large subunit ribosomal RNA", at positions 2389 to 3401 of the family's 3401-position model. The record is from Rfam by way of RNAcentral. Lineage: Eukaryota; Metazoa; Chordata; Mammalia; Primates; Hylobatidae.